Molecule: ribosomal RNA, 20 nt
Filed under: Hesperocyparis arizonica
Lineage: Eukaryota; Viridiplantae; Streptophyta; Pinopsida; Cupressales; Cupressaceae
Description: partial 26S rRNA
Source: RNAcentral
GCGUCCCCAAGUCAGUUUGA